GCGCCGUCCAAAGAAUCGCCGUCGCAGCACACACACAGGGAGCUUCGCGCUUUCUCUCACCGCUGUGGGGAAAGUCCCCGGAGAUGCAGAGCGCACCAGCCCGCGCACACUCAUUGGAAAGCAUCCGCCCUUAAUCCGGCGGGCCCGUGCGCUGGGUCGUCCUCCCGUCUGCCCCGUCCCUUCUGUUGGGGACGUAGGGUUGGGAUCGGACCGCUCUGCCCGCCCGUAGCCUUGGUUAAUCAAACGCGAAGAUAUGAGCGGACCUCGGGGCGCGGGCACCCGUUGCUCAUAGACAUAGUUAUGCGAUUGUCAGUGCGCGCGUUUCCGAGGCGUGCGUGUCUGGUAACUCAAUGGGGCUCACUCUCGGACGGCG
This 373-nucleotide RNase MRP RNA is filed under the name Heterobasidion irregulare TC 32-1. Its description in RNAcentral is "RNase MRP". It matches the Rfam family "RNase MRP". From Rfam's summary of the family: RNase MRP is an enzymatically active ribonucleoprotein with two distinct roles in eukaryotes. In mitochondria it plays a direct role in the initiation of mitochondrial DNA replication. Lineage: Eukaryota; Fungi; Basidiomycota; Agaricomycetes; Russulales; Bondarzewiaceae. The record is from Rfam by way of RNAcentral.